UACAGAGGGUGCAAGCGUUAAUCGGAAUUACUGGGCGUAAAGCGUGCGCAGGCGGUUGUGCAAGACAGAUGUGAAAUCCCCGGGCUCAACCUGGGAACUGCAUUUGUGACUGCACGGCUAGAGUGUGUCAGAGGGGGGUAGAAUUCCACGUGUAGCAGUGAAAUGCGUAGAUAUGUGGAGGAAUACCGAUGGCGAAGGCAGCCCCCUGGGAUGACACUGACGCUCAUGCACGAAAGCGUGGGGAGCAAAC
This 250-nucleotide ribosomal RNA is filed under the name uncultured bacterium. RNAcentral's name for it is "partial 16S ribosomal RNA". It matches the Rfam family "Bacterial small subunit ribosomal RNA", at positions 524 to 773 of the family's 1533-position model. The record is from RNAcentral.